AUGAUUGAUGGUUGCCCCGCUCUAGAGUGCUUGCUGAUUCGCCGCGGCUCUGGCUUCCGUUGUGUCCGAAUCAACUCCAUCAGCCUUAGAGGCAUAGGUGUGGAAGUUUAUUGGGAAGACCUCAGAUUAGAGGAAGUCAUCAUCGAGAAUGCCCCUUGUCUUGAAAAGUUGCUCCUAUUUGGCUCAGCUGAAUCCCGGCAUAUAUCGGUAAUCUCCGCACCUAAAUUGGAGACCCUAGGCUGCCUAUCUUCCCAUUUAUCUGAUUUUAGUCAACAUGAUUUUAGUACCACACUCACGCUAUACUCGACAGUUAUUCAGGGAUUGCGUGUUCAUAGCUUGACGGAGACGGUGCGCACUGUCAAGAUUUUAUCUGUUCGUAUGAUUGCUCUUAGUUUGGAUGUUGUUAUUGACUUGAUGAGAUGCUUUCCUUGCUUGGAAAGGCUGUACAUUGACGUAACAAUUCUUCCUUAA
This 471-nucleotide ribosomal RNA is filed under the name Triticum aestivum (bread wheat). RNAcentral's name for it is "partial small subunit ribosomal RNA". Lineage: Eukaryota; Viridiplantae; Streptophyta; Magnoliopsida; Poales; Poaceae. The record is from RNAcentral.